AUGCUCGUCGGCGCUCUCCUCCUCCUCGUCCUCUCCUCGGCCACCGAAAUCCACGGCGGGCCAAGCUCCAGAGCCGCGCCAUGUUCCACGCUGGCCCAGCUCUGCACCAGCCUCGGACCUUGGUACGUAGCGCCGAACGUCUGCGUGUCCACACUCUGCGUCGACCCCUCCUGCCGCUCUGCGCCUGACUUGCCGGAGCUCGCAGUGAUCGCCACCAGGCUAACGGUGUACAACGCCACGGUGGCCAAGGCCAGCAUCGAGCAUGCGCUCGCCCACGCCAAGGAUGGCAAGGCUAGGAAGGUCAUGCAGUCGUGCCUCCAGCUCUACACAGGCGCCGUCCCAAAGUUGCAGUGGGCGGCGCGGUCGGUUGCUGCUGGGCGAUAUAGCGGUGUACCGGAGGUGCUAGAGGAUGCAUCUAAACAUGUCUCAUCUGAGUGCACCGAUUUGGCCGGCAAGGUGGCACUUCCCAAGGAGAACGGCGAGUUCUUCAUGAUGGGCUACGUCGCGAAGGCCGUCGUCGAAUGGGUGCAGCUUUUCGGCUGA
Molecule: ribosomal RNA, 543 nt
Filed under: Triticum aestivum (bread wheat)
Lineage: Eukaryota; Viridiplantae; Streptophyta; Magnoliopsida; Poales; Poaceae
Description: partial small subunit ribosomal RNA
Source: RNAcentral